AGUGAACGCUGGCGGUAGGCCUAACACAUGCAAGUCGAACGGCAGCACAGUAAGAGCUUGCUCUUACGGGUGGCGAGUGGCGGACGGGUGAGGAAUACAUCGGAAUCUACUUUUUCGUGGGGGAUAACGUAGGGAAACUUACGCUAAUACCGCAUACGACCUACGGGUGAAAGCAGGGGAUCUUCGGACCUUGCGCGAUUGAAUGAGCCGAUGUCGGAUUAGCUAGUUGGCGGGGUAAAGGCCCACCAAGGCGACGAUCCGUAGCUGGUCUGAGAGGAUGAUCAGCCACACUGGAACUGAGACACGGUCCAGACUCAUACGGGAGGCAGCAGUGGGGAAUAUUGGACAAUGGGCGCAAGCCUGAUCCAGCCAUACCGCGUGGGUGAAGAAGGCCUUCGGGUUGUAAAGCCCUUUUGUUGGGAAAGAAAAGCAGCAGGUUAAUACCCCGCUGUUCUGACGGUACCCAAAGAAUAAGCACCGGCUAACUUCG
Molecule: ribosomal RNA, 490 nt
Filed under: uncultured bacterium
Lineage: Bacteria
Description: partial 16S ribosomal RNA
Rfam family: Bacterial small subunit ribosomal RNA
Source: RNAcentral